RNAcentral lists this ribosomal RNA (468 nucleotides) under uncultured bacterium. Its description in RNAcentral is "partial 16S ribosomal RNA". It matches the Rfam family "Bacterial small subunit ribosomal RNA", at positions 28 to 507 of the family's 1533-position model. The record is from RNAcentral.
GACGAACGCUGGCGGCGUGCUUAACACAUGCAAGUCGAACGGAAAGGCCCUGCUUUUGUGGGGUGCUCGAGUGGCGAACGGGUGAGUAACACGUGAGUAACCUGCCCUUGACUUUGGGAUAACUUCAGGAAACUGGGGCUAAUACCGGAUAGGAGCUCCUGCUGCAUGGUGGGGGUUGGAAAGUUUCGGCGGUUGGGGAUGGACUCGCGGCUUAUCAGCUUGUUGGUGGGGUAGUGGCUUACCAAGGCUUUGACAGGUAGCCGGCCUGAGAGGGUGACCGGCCACAUUGGGACUGAGAUACGGCCCAGACUCCUACGGGAGGCAGCAGAGGGGAAUAUUGCACAAUGGGCGGAAGCCUGAUGCAGCAACGCCGCGUGCGGGAUGACGGCCUUCGGGUUGUAAACCGCUUUCGCCUGUGACGAAGCGUGAGUGACGGUAAUGGGUAAAGAAGCACCGGCUAACUACGUG